RNAcentral lists this ribosomal RNA (253 nucleotides) under uncultured bacterium. RNAcentral describes it as "partial 16S ribosomal RNA". It matches the Rfam family "Bacterial small subunit ribosomal RNA", at positions 524 to 776 of the family's 1533-position model. The record is from RNAcentral.
UACGGAGGGAGCAAGCGUUACUCGGAAUUAUUGGGCGUAAAGAGCUCGUAGGCGGUCUGUCGCGUCUGCUGUGAAAACUCAGGGCUUAACCCUGAGCUUGCAGUGGGUACGGGCAGACUAGAGUGCGGUAGGGGAGACUGGAAUUCCUGGUGUAGCGGUGAAAUGCGCAGAUAUCAGGAGGAACACCGGUGGCGAAGGCGGGUCUCUGGGCCGUAACUGACGCUGAGGAGCGAAAGCGUGGGGAGCGAACAGG